Molecule: long non-coding RNA, 599 nt
Organism: Tachysurus vachellii
Lineage: Eukaryota; Metazoa; Chordata; Actinopteri; Siluriformes; Bagridae
Exons: 2
Source: RefSeq, a predicted model, not a curated record
GUCAUGGCCUUUCCAAAAAGUUCUACCAUGUGAACCCUCGCAGCAUUGUCUCAAAGCAAUAAGGCCUGUGUGUCAUUCCUACAGAACCGGUUAUUUGUGUGGUUACGUGUAGAUGAGAUGUUUUGUUCCAGGGCUUUUUUUUGUAUGGGUGGAUCUAUAGCCAUAAUGAGAGAAUGAUUUUCUUCAAGUGAACCGACAAUUACUGUACACAAAGUGACAAAACAGAGUGAAGGAAUUCCAGCACGGAUUGCAGAUCAAAUGGUUAUUGCUGUUUCACCUUGAACUUCACCUUUUCUGGGCCUUGGGAAGUGGAUAUGGAUGUAAACUCAAGAACAUUUCUGAAUUCAAGAAAAAUUCAGAAAUACAGCAGCAGAGGGCGUCAGAACACCUUACAGACAACACCAAGUGUAAUUACUGAAGUGUGGGGAAAUGUUUGUAUGGUGUGAGAACUUUGUAUAAGCAAACUGAAAUACAGGGAUGUUAAACAAUAAAGUGACCAGAAUACGUGGAUGAUCCCAUAAUUACAGUGUAAUUGGACCUAUGUAACAUCUAAAAUGUUGCUUAAAAUGACAAAAGUUACAUAAAAAUCAUGAAAACCA